GAUUAACGCUGGCGGCGUGCAUAACACAUGCAAGUCGAACGAUGAAACUCAUUUGAUUUCUUCGGAAUGAAAAUGAAUGGAUUAGUGGCGAACGGGUGAGUAACGCGUGAGUAACCUGCCUUACACAAGGGGAUAGCCUUUGGAAACGAAGAAUAAUACCCUAUAAAACCAUAAAAGCACAUGCAAUUAUGGUCAAAGUAUUAGCGGUGUAAGAUGGACUUGCGUCUGAUUAGCUAGUUGGUGAGAUAAAAGCCCACCAAGGCAACGAUCAGUAGCCGGCUUGAGAGAGUGUACGGCCACAUUGGGACUGAGACACGGCCCAGACUCCUACGGGAGGCAGCAGUGGGGAAUUUUGCACAAUGGGGGAAACCCUGAUGCAGCGACGCCGCGUGAUUUAGAAGGCCUUCGGGUUGUAAAAAUCUUUUGUAUAGGAAGAAAAUGACAGUACUAUACGAAUAAGGUCCGGCUAAUUACGUGCCAGCAGCCGCGGUAAUACGUAAGGACCGAGCGUUGUCCGGAAUCAUUGGGCGUAAAGGGUACGUAGGCGGCUAGAAAAGUUAGAAGUCAAAGGCUAUAGCUCAACUAUAGUAAGCUUCUAAACUAUUUAGCUUGAGAGAUGGAAGGGAAAGUGGAAUUCCUAGUGUAGCGGUGGAAUGCGCAGAUAUUAGGAGGAAUACCGGUGGCGAAGGCGACUUUCUGGCCAUUUUCUGACGCUGAGGUACGAAAGCGUGGGUAGCAAACAGGAUUAGAUACCCUGGUAGUCCACGCCGUAAACGAUGAGUGUUAGGUGUCUGGAGUCAAAUCUGGGUGCCGCAGCAAACGCAUUAAACACUCCGCCUGGGGAGUACGCACGCAAGUGUGAAACUCAAAGGAAUUGACGGGGACCCGCACAAGCAGCGGAGCAUGUGGUUUAAUUCGACGCAACGCGAAGAACCUUACCAAGUCUUGACAUAUUUUAGAAUCAAUUAGAGAUAAUUGCCUAUAUCUUCGGAUAACUAAAAUACAGGUGGUGCAUGGUUGUCGUCAGCUCGUGUCGUGAGAUGUUGGGUUAAGUCCCAUAACGAGCGCAACCCCUAUUGCUAGUUACCAUCAUUAAGUUGGGGACUCUAGUAAUACUGCCGGUGACAAACCGGAGGAAGGUGGGGAUGACGUCAAAUCAUCAUGCCCUUUAUGACUUGGGCUACACACGUGCUACAAUGGCAGGUACACAGGGAAGCAAGACUGUGAAGUUAAGCAAAACUCAAAAAGCCUGUCCCAGUUCGGAUUGCACUCUGCAACUCGAGUGCAUGAAGUUGGAGUUGCUAGUAAUCGCAGAUCAGAAUGCUGCGGUGAAAGCGUUCCCGGGUCU
RNAcentral lists this ribosomal RNA (1348 nucleotides) under uncultured bacterium. RNAcentral's name for it is "bacterial SSU rRNA". It matches the Rfam family "Bacterial small subunit ribosomal RNA", at positions 28 to 1381 of the family's 1533-position model. The record is from RNAcentral.